Molecule: non-coding RNA, 2821 nt
Organism: Triticum urartu
Lineage: Eukaryota; Viridiplantae; Streptophyta; Magnoliopsida; Poales; Poaceae
Source: RefSeq, a predicted model, not a curated record
GCAUAUCUCCAGUAUACAUUUAGGUUAUGUGUCAGUGUGAUCUCGAAAGUAGAGCGAGGAAUUGAACAUAUAAAGAAUGAGCUAGUGCACCCAACUAGCGGCACCAGCCACGUCUCCUUUUAUUCGCCAUCCUCUUCGCGUCGUCCGGCCUCCCCUGCUCCACGACCCUCUGCCUCAGGGCCUCCCGCGCCGCCGCCUUCUCUUCCGGGCCUCUUCUCUGGCGCUCGAUGCAGCCGGGGCGACCUCCUCCUCUUCCUCUCCUCCUUCCCUGCCUCCGGAUCCAGACCAGUGAAAUCUGGAGGGGAGACGAGUAAAGGGCGACUGAGGCGACGGUCGAGCAGAUGAGAGGAAGAGAGAAGGAAGAAGAGGCGACGCUCGAGCAGAUGAGAGGGAGAAAGAGGUAGGUGCAGCAAGGCGACAGACGGGAGAGGGCCGAGGGCGAGCUCCAGCGCGAGCGCGUGGACCUGUCACCCACGCCGGCGAGGUCCUCAGCCCCGAGCUGCGCCUCUACCACCGCGAAGGCGACUGCUGCGACCAUGCUCGUGCGCACACACACUGUGCCGUCUCCAGGUGCCAGUUGAAGUUACUGCUGGGCUUUAUUUCCCUCCUCUGAUUUGGUGAUGUGGGAGAAAGAAGAAGAGCAGGCAUGUUCUCUAUUUCUACAUCCAACGUCCACACGGCUAGAUCGACAGGUCUAAACUCUUGAAUACAGAAAGAGUAAGCUACUAGCAUUCCUAAUGUGCAAGUAAACCUACUGGGAUUAUGACUGCAAAAAAAAUUCAUGACAUGUGAGCAAUUCUCAAUUUAGAUACUGUGAGCUUAAAUAACAAGAGCUAAACUGUUGUGCCAUGUUCAGAAUUGGUAAUAGAAAAGAUAAUCUAAACGCACAUUCUGAAAUUAUCUAGACUCCUGCCUUUGGGGAAUUAGGUUGCUAAGCAUUACUUUGUAAAUAAAUGACAUGCUAACUUGCUGGUUCAGUUUAAAGCUAUAGGCAGGGGCUUGCGGUAGGGGGGAUAUCAUUGUGGCAGUUGAAAACCAAAACACUUAUUCAUGAGUGUAUGAUCUGGACUGCGCUUUUCUGAAAGUAUGUUACGAUCCUGCUCUUGGGAGAUUAAGCUGUUGUGGUUUUGCUUCAUACAGGGCCCGCUUUGGACCAGUGCGAGAGGUGCGACGGCCCGGGGCCCAGACUAAAAGGGGGCCCAUAGUAUAUAUGCAGUAUAUAUAUUAUAUAUUACGGAUUAGUGGAAAAAAAAGAAUGACUAACGUCCAGCCCAGGUAGCUCUGAGCCCACCCAGCAAGCAGCACGCAACCACCACUAGGGCCUGCCCAACCAAGCCCAGGCAACGCACGUUGCCCUGUCGUUCGCCUGGAAUCCAGGGAGACGCACCGACACAGGAGCACGGAGACGCAUCGACACAGCAGCACGCCGCCUGACGCCGACACCAGCGCACCGCACCGAACCUGGAGCUGAGUUUGGGAUCAAAUCAGCAAGAAUUCGGGGACUUCAUAAAUAAUUGGCAUGCUAAAACAUUGGUUGUUGUUUCAGUGGUGGGGACCAAUAAUAGAAAGAAGUUGCUUCCUUAGAUGGUUGGUUAGGUCAUGGGUGCAGCAAGGAAAGGGACACCUGAUGACGGUUCUGGACUUGAGGUCUAACAAAAAGUAUUGUUCAGUGUAGUGUUUUUCUGGUUUCUUGAUCAGUGUGUCAGAGGCCAUGAAUUCUUUUCAUGCUUGCAAAUAUUUUUUUGAUUGUAUUUGAAAAGUAUACCCCGAUUGAGAGUCUAGGAGGGAUCUUGCUGAACAAAUAUACCUGACUUCAUGAAUGUCUGUACAGUUAGUCAGAGAUGAAAUGACAAGCAGCUCUCCUGCGUCGUUCGAGAAGAAAAGAAAACAAAAGACGAGGAUUAUAUAAUCCCACUUUAUGCUUACAGUUAGUCCGAGAUUCAAGUGAUUAUUUGUGCCGUGGUCGCUACAACAAAUCAUCUAAAAUAAGCUACUAGCGUUUUUUUUAUCCAAGCUUUCUUGCUUAGAAUUAGAUAAUAUACGCCUGCUUCAUACAUAUUACUCUUUCUGAGAGGGGCAUGAUCAUCAUGAAAUCAGCAAAUUAUAUACGCAUAUGUGCUUUACUAAAUAUUAUUCUCUCUGUAUACCUUCUUUAUUUUUAUUAGAGAAACGGUUGAGAUAGUACACUCAGACUAAUGCAUUGCAUGUCUUUUUGUGCUUAAACCAGAGGCAAAAGCACUUUAAAAUAUGUUCCGCUGCCUCUUCUCCUCUUCAUUGCUCUGCUUCUUCCCCUGAUUCCUCUUUUUCGUUUUUUCUCUUUGUGGCGCCGCCGAGGAUGAGUGGAGCAGCUGCUGAAGCAGGCGCGGCGCUGGUGCGCUGCUGGCGAAGCGGUGGUCAACGGUGCCGUCGACGUUGUCCUUGGCAGAAGUUAUCCCCAUUGGCUUGUGGAUAUGCUCCUGCUGGGUCGUUCUUGUUUAUUUUCUCUAUCCAACAUCAUUGCAGGCAGGGAUCAGCUUUGGUGGCAUCCGAUGCUGGCAGGCCACGGGGUUAGAGCAGAGGAAGCUGACAUGGUGUUCGAAAUUCAGAUGGUCAUUGUGAUAGAAGAAAGUGCAUAAAGAAUGAGCAAGGAAAAGCUACAGAUUGAUAUGUCCAGGUACAAGACUCGGGCAACGGGCAGGUACAAGACUCGGGCAACAGUUAAUGGACACAAUGAAUCUGUGCUAAUAUAGCUUACUUUAUAAAGCCAUCAAUGUAUGCUAUUAUCAAGUGUUUUGAAUAUUUUAUUUUAAGCUAUAUAAGUAUUCAUUAACUUUGUUCUAAA